GUGGCGAACGGGUGCGUAACACGUGAGCAACCUACCGUGAAGUGGGGGAUAGCUCGCCGAAAGGCGAAUUAAUACCGCAUGUGGCCAAGGAAGACAUCUUCCUGACGCCAAAGCCGGGGUAACCUGGCGCUUCUCGAGGGGCUCGCGGCCUAUCAGCUUGUCGGUGAGGUAACGGCUCACCAAGGCUAUGACGGGUAGCUGGUCUGAGAGGACGACCAGCCACACUGGAACUGAGACACGGUCCAGACACCUACGGGUGGCAGCAGUCGAGAAUUUUUCACAAUGGGGGAAACCCUGAUGGAGCGACGCCGCGUGGAGGAUGACGGUUUUCGGAUUGUAAACUCCUGUCAUUAGAGAACAAGGCACAUGGUUUAACUGACCGUGUGUUGAUAGUAUCUGAAGAGGAAGGGACGGCUAACUCUGUGCCAGCAGCCGCGGUAAUACAGAGGUCCCAAGCGUUGUUCGGAUUCAUUGGGCGUAAAGGGUGCGUAGGUGGCGAGGCAAGUCGGAUGUGAAAUCUCCAAGCUCAACUUGGAAACUGCAUUCGAUACUGCUUUGCUCGAGGAUUGUAGAGGGCAUUGGAGUUCACGGUGUAGCAGUGAAAUGCGUAGAUAUCGUGAGGAAGACCAGUGGCGAAGGCGAAUGCCUGGGCAAUUCCUGACACUGAGGCACGAAGGCCAGGGGAGCAAACGGGAUUAGAUACCCCGGUAGUCCUGGCAGUAAACGGUGCACGUUUGGUGUGGGAGAUUCGACCCCUUCCGUGCCGGAGCUAACGCGUUAAACGUGCCGCCUGGGGGAGUACGGUCGCAAGAUUAAA
Molecule: ribosomal RNA, 817 nt
Filed under: uncultured bacterium
Lineage: Bacteria
Description: bacterial SSU rRNA
Rfam family: Bacterial small subunit ribosomal RNA
Source: RNAcentral